Chinchilla lanigera (long-tailed chinchilla) is the source of this 3031-nucleotide long non-coding RNA. RefSeq lists it as uncharacterized. The record is from RefSeq and is a predicted model, not a curated record. Lineage: Eukaryota; Metazoa; Chordata; Mammalia; Rodentia; Chinchillidae. The transcript is spliced from 4 exons.
GUGAUGCUGCGGGGCGGCCCGGAGGACGCCCCUCCCGCCGGCCCGGCCCGGCUCCAGCGCGCGCCGCCUGGGCCCCGUCUGAGUUGGAUUUAUCUACUGAGAACAUAGAAGACUUACUUUCAUCAUCUGAAUCAAAUCCAAAGAGUGUCUGACAUUUCUUUUGUGCAAGGUUUAAGAGAAACGAAGUGAUACUGAAGCUUGUCAUCACCAAGAAAUCAAAUAACAAAUGCUGAGGUUAAUUCACGAGUGGGAGCCUGACCCCAUUAGCCCAGAAUCGCUGGGCUGUUCUCAACUCUGAAGCUUGGAUACCAUUGGCAUUACCACUGGUGUGCAGUAGGAGAGCAUGAAGAAAAACAACAAAGAAAACAAAGGUUUGAAAAUGUGAGUCUCAGUUUCCCUGCAAACAGGUAUCUUUGAGGAUCAGCUGUAUCCCUUCCCUCAUGGCUUAUGUCACAACCCAUUGUGCCUGAAAUAAAUAUUUCCUUUUCCCUAUGCAAGUUAGACACUGAUGUUUUUAACUGCAAACUUAACUCAUGUAAAUCUCAACUUCAUUUUGUACUAGCUGUAGCUGUGCAACUUUUCUCUCUUUAAUCUGGUUAUUUUAUAUGUAAAAAUUGAAAUUAUUUCUGUACAUCUUUUUUCUAGUGUUGAAACAUUUUAAAGCUUGAAAACAAUUUUAAAGAUAUAUUUAUUUCAUUAAAUUCUUUGGUUUCAGAAGUUAUCAAAAGAGCUAUGAUUAGAGAUAACUACUGAUACUGAUGUAGUGAGUAAAAUUUCAAAAUAAAGUAAAAAUUCAAUGUUCAAUUUAUUUUAUUCAACAUCUUUAUUAAAAGAAUUAGAUAAAACAUCUAGGUGUAAAUUCUGGUAUAUACUGAUGUUUAGUAAAUCAUUAGUUUGUUUUAUUUAUUAUCUGUGUAAUUUUCAUAGUCUCAAACAAUGAGAUUUAUUCAAUAAAUAUUUGUAAAAUGAUAAUCCAGUAAAUUUUAUUUUUUUUAUUGUUAUAGUGGUGGUGUUGGAGAUUAAUACCGGGGCCUUUACAUGUAGGCAAAUGUUCUAUGACUGAGCUGCAUUCUCAGCCUGAUAAUAUGGUAACUACUGUACUCCUAAAUGCUGAAGGCUCUUAAGGAAAUAUAUUAACAGAAAUUGUACACGUGGUUUAAGAUAAAAAAUGAUGCCAAACUUUCUGAAUAAGUAUUUUCAUUUAGAAAAGUGAUAUGGAUAUAGAAGGCAAACAGAUCGACUAUACUGAAGAAGACAAAGCAUAUCUCUGCAAUAGAUUUUCGAACAAAGCAUGAUAGUUGGAAAUCAUGAGAGAUAUUCCAUUCAGUACUAUAAAGUGCAUACUAAUUAUAUUUGAAAUGUUUUCCAAAAGAUAAAUUUGAGGCUCCUUACAGAUAUUCUUAGGGCACAGUUUUUCUUCUUCUUUUUAAGUACAAAUACCUUAUUUCCUUUUGUCUCUGUUAAGCCAGGGGAAAACUUAGAAAACAAAUAUAUAUCCUAUGAUCUUAACAGAUUCACCAGGAAAGGGCUACUUGACAGACUUCAGGCCUUAUAGUAGCCAAAGCAGAAAUCUCAGAUUAUAGUUGUAAAACUCCAUUUUGAAUGAAUGUACAAAAUAAAAUCUCAAGUUUUACUUGUACACUGGAUUCUGGAGGAAAACAAAACAAAAAAACCAAACAGGAAAAAUUAUCCUCAAAACCUCUGGUAGGGUCGGGGAGAUAGCUCAAUGGCACAAGUGCCUGCCUGGCAAGCACACGGUCCUGAGUUCAAUUUCUAGUACCAAAAAAAAAAAAAAAAGAUAAGAAACUCACUGGUAGUCUUUAUUUAGAAGUCCAAAGGGCAGGCUGUUUUGUUUUAGAGACAGGGGCUCAUCACUAGUUGAGGCUGGCCUUGAAUUUAUGGCAAUCUUCUUGCCUCAGCCUCCCUAGUGCUAGAAUUUCAGGCAUAUACCACCUUUCCUGGCUCGAAGAGCAGGUUUAGUGAAACUUAAAUUUUCUUUUAGACAGACCGCCCUUUAGAAAAUAUAGCAUCCAAUCAAUGCCCAAUAUACUUCCCAGGUAGCUUUAAGAUUCUACUAAUUACUAAGAGAAUCAUCAAAUUAUCUAGUUUCUACAAAAAACCCGUAACAGUCUACAGUCACACUUACAAUGUAUGUUUUUUUCCCCUAAACUUGACCCAUUUAUAAUAAAUAAUUUUAAUAGCUGAGGUCAGUCAAGCUGCCCAGAUAUGGUAUUGACUUCACUAUUUCCUAACAGAAUGGCUUAAAUACAAUAUUAUCUAUGCCAUAAGAAUGUGGCAUUAAAUGAGAUAAUGCAUAAAGUACAGGAUACAUGAAACACUCAUUACAUGUUAGUAGCUGUUACUAUCAUUAUUAUGGUUACUAUUAUUAUGAUAGUGAAGCAGAAAUGGAGUUAGUAGCUUGCUCUGCAGAUAUAACUUGGCUGGACUCUGGAUUUGGUUCUGCCCACAAAGGGGGAAAUGAAGAGCAAGCCUGUACGAAACAGACAAUAUAGACCUUGAAGGAUGAAAAGAAUUCUGCUCUUCAAUGUACAGUAAAAACCUAACUUUUAACAGCAAGAAAAACAACCCUAGCGUUCAGAAACAUAGAAGACAGAUAUGAGAAAAAGGAGGGCAGGUUAUCAGAACUCAAGACUAUUCACAAGGAAAGGCUUAAAAAGAUAAAGACUCCCUUCUUAUUAGGCAGUUUGAGUCACACCCACUUCUAUUCUUAAAUUUCUGUGGUCAGGAACCAGAAGUUAGGCACUGUUCCCUUUUUAAGGUUCCCCACUAAAGAACAGAAAUUGGUUAGCUAAGAGAAAAAGAAAAUGAAGUAUAUUUUCUUUUCCUUUUUAAAAAAAACUUGUCCCUAGUUAUUUAUGAAUAAAAAGAUUAAAGAUACCAUAUUUAAAUAGUUUAACAAAGCUAAGAGGAGGGAACAUUCUUACGCUCAUAGGACAAGAUCUACUAUUAACAGUUGUAACUAUGGUUCACUGCAGAGUAACUGAAUAUCAACAAAUGGUAAUACACUGAA